RNAcentral lists this ribosomal RNA (492 nucleotides) under uncultured bacterium. RNAcentral describes it as "partial 16S ribosomal RNA". It matches the Rfam family "Bacterial small subunit ribosomal RNA", at positions 29 to 507 of the family's 1533-position model. The record is from RNAcentral.
AGUGAACGCUGGCGGUAGGCCUAACACAUGCAAGUCGAACGGCAGCACAGUAAGAGCUUGCUCUUACGGGUGGCGAGUGGCGGACGGGUGAGGAAUACAUCGGAAUCUACUUUUUCGUGGGGGAUAACGUAGGGAAACUUACGCUAAUACCGCAUACGACCUACGGGUGAAAGCAGGGGAUCUUCGGACCUUGCGCGAUUGAAUGAGCCGAUGUCGGAUUAGCUAGUUGGCGGGGUAAAGGCCCACCAAGGCGACGACCCGUAGCUGGUCUGAGAGGAUGAUCAGCCACACUGGAACUGAGACACGGUCCAGACUCCUACGGGAGGCAGCAGUGGGGAAUAUUGGACAAUGGGCGCAAGCCCGAUCCAGCCAUACCGCGUGGGUGAAGAAGGCCUUCGGGUUGUAAAGCCCUUUUGUUGGGAAAGAAAAGCAGCAGGUUAAUACCCCGCUGUUCUGACGGUACCCAAAGAAUAAGCACCGGCUAACUUCGUG